Molecule: long non-coding RNA, 309 nt
Organism: Nilaparvata lugens (brown planthopper)
Lineage: Eukaryota; Metazoa; Arthropoda; Insecta; Hemiptera; Delphacidae
Exons: 3
Source: RefSeq, a predicted model, not a curated record
UUGCAUUUGCAAUGGACCAACGGUUUUUUGAGGUUGUUUGUGUUUUGUAGUUUGUAAUUUUUGUGAUUUUAUCCAGGAAAUAUAGGAGCUGUGGUGAUGAAAUUUUCCAACACAAAAGAAAAAUACAUAGAAGCAGUACAGUAAUCAAAUACUGGCUGAAGUCUCCAAAAACUUGGUUUACCAGCAAAGAGAAAUCUAAAAAUGUUCAAACACCGGAUCCUGGAGGAAAAUCUGAAUUCUACAAAAAUUGAGAUUGAAUUGAGGUACAGUAACAUGAACCAGUAUGUAGCUCAAAAAAUUGAUCCUUCA